Molecule: ribosomal RNA, 505 nt
Filed under: uncultured Alphaproteobacteria bacterium
Lineage: Bacteria; Pseudomonadati; Pseudomonadota; Alphaproteobacteria
Description: bacterial SSU rRNA
Rfam family: Bacterial small subunit ribosomal RNA
Source: RNAcentral
CGGGGGCCCGCACAAGCGGUGGAGCAUGUGUNUCAAUUCGAAGCAACGCGCAGAACCUUACCAGCCCUUGACAUGCCACGACGGUUCCCAGAGAUGGGCUCCUCCCCGCAAGGGGCGUGGACACAGGUGCUGCAUGUCUGUCGUCAGCUCGUGUCGUGAGAUGUUGGGUUAAGUCCCGCGACGAGCGCAACCGUCGCCUUUAGUUGCCACCAUUUAGUUGGGCACUUCUAAGGGGACUGCCGGUGAUAAGCCGCGAGGAAGGUGGGGAUGACGUCAAUGUCUUCAUGGGCCUAUUAGCGGGUCUGGGUAUACACGACGUGUUCACAAUCGGCGGUGACCAAUGGGGAUGCUGAUGGGGGCAGACCUUUGAGCAAAUGUACAAAAAGCCUUCUCAGUUCGGGUUGUGCUGCUGCAACUGCGAGCACAUGAAGUCGGAAUCGCUAGUAAUCGCAGAUCAGCACGCUGCGGUGAAUACGUUCCCGGGCUUUGUACACACCGCCCGUCA